GACGAACGCUGGCGGCGUGCCUAAUACAUGCAAGUUGAGCGCUGAAGGUUGGUACUUGUGCCCACUGGAUGAGCAGCGAACGGGUGAGUAACGCGUGGGGAAUCUGCCUUUGAGCGGGGGACAACAUUUGGAAACGAAUGCUAAUACCGCAUAAAAACUUUAAACACAAGUUUUACGUUUGAAAGAUGCAAUUGCAUCACUCAAAGAUGAUCCCGCGUUGUAUUAGCUAGUUGGUGAGGUAAGGGCUCACCAAGGCGAGGAUACAUAGCCGACCUCAGAGGCGGAGCGGCCACAUUGGGACUGAGACACGGCCCAAACUCCUACGGGAGGCAGCAGUAGGGGAUCUUCGGCAAUGGACGAAAGGCUGAACGAGCAACGCCGCGUGAGUGAAGAAGGUUGUCGGAUCGUAAAACUCUGUUGGUAGAGAAGAACGUUGGUGAGAGUGGAAAGCGCAUCAAGUGACGGUAACUACACAGAAAGGGACGGCUAACUACGUG
Molecule: ribosomal RNA, 497 nt
Filed under: uncultured bacterium
Lineage: Bacteria
Description: partial 16S ribosomal RNA
Rfam family: Bacterial small subunit ribosomal RNA
Source: RNAcentral